Molecule: long non-coding RNA, 1968 nt
Organism: Helianthus annuus (common sunflower)
Lineage: Eukaryota; Viridiplantae; Streptophyta; Magnoliopsida; Asterales; Asteraceae
Exons: 7
Source: RefSeq, a predicted model, not a curated record
AAUGUUCCCGUUAAAGUCAAACCCAUACUAUAUUUACUCACAACUGUCCGAUCCUGUUGAGGUUAAAUCUAAGCCGCAUAAAAUAGGUUGAUUCUUCUAGAAGCAGAAGUUAACAGCGGUUUCUCCACCAUCCCACUCUCCCGGUGAUUUCGGUCAGUUUUUCCUCCUCACCUACAAAACUCCUCCGCCAUUUCAAUCAUCUUCUCCCCGUGAUUCCAUUCAUCCCAAUUUGGGGUUUUAGUUGAUGAUCAUAAUUGUUCAUAUGUUGCUUUCCUUUUAAUUUUCGAGGAACUCCUAUCAUCUUUAAGGAAAACAAAUAGGCGGCCUUGAGGCUGAUAUGAUGGCAUUGAAGGAACUUUAAAUCUUCAAGGUAAUUUUCUAUUUAAUCCUCACCGCUGGUAACAGUUAUUCGGUCUUCAAUCUCGGGCUAACAUUGGUUGUUUCUCACAGUAUGUGGAUUGAAGUUUCAAGAUAUUACAGAAGGCAAUGUGCAAAUUAGGAUCAUGAUGGUUCACACAUCAAAGGGCUACUUGUGAACUUUCUUCACUCAUUUUUGGCCAUCUUUACUAGAAGUUCCAGAAUUUGUGUUUGACUACUGUCGAUCAUUAAGGGAAUCUUUAGUGACAUGUCUAUUCGUGAUGGCUCUAAUCUCUACCCUACUUUUUUGGAUAUUGAAAUCUUAAAAAGGUUGUUGGAUGAUGUUCGUUUGGUUGAUUUACCUUUUUUUCAUUCCUUUUUUUUGCUUCAGACUUCCAGUUUGAUUACGUCUUUCGUUGGAUAUCAACAAUCGCAACUUGUCAAUCCGCCACUCUUGGUGCUAAUGCUGGACUAAGUGCUGGAGCCCUUCCUUUGGUUUCUAACCUGAAUAGGCAAAUAUUUGUGUGUUGGAAAGACUUGGAUCGAGCAACAAAGCCUUGAAAGCUUAGCAAGUUGUGUUUUGACCUUUCACCAACCGGCCCUUUUCGCCACCUGGCACAUGUGCCAUUAGAGUUAGUGAACCUAACUCAUCCCGUGCACGGACUACAAAUGUAAGCCCCUGUGUACUCAACAAUGGUUCAAGGUUGGCCCAAAGGAGCUAACCUGUUGUGUCCUCAGACCAGGAACGACCCUUUUCUAGAUAUGCUUUCAAGCAGCAACCUCAAAAACUUUGAAUCAACACUAACGAGUAUUGAGGGCAUGCACUUUUAACACAAUCGAGGGAAAUUACAUCUUGCCCACUCCACGUGUAAAUAUGUUUCUUAAAAGCAUGCACCACUAAAAAAGCUACAGAAAGUGAAAACAACGCAGGGUUUCAUCACAGCUAUGGUCAUAAUGAGAGUCGACAUUCUUUUUUCUGAUGUACUUGGUUUGUGGAUUUUGUUUUUUCAAUACAUUUACCUACUAAAUUUUAAAUGUGAUGGUUUAUAGAACUUAUUUGGUUUUAUAUUAAUCAGUUUGUCCUGCCUAAACCUGCUGGUUUUGGUCAGACACCGUCUAAACCCAAAAUUGGAUGCGUAUGAUGCUGAAGAUUAGACUGUCUUUAUGUUUUGGAGGCUGGUUGGUGAAUCAUUAAGCAACGGGUUUGACGUUUUAAACGUAUCGUUUUAGUAAAACAGGAUAACGACUAUAGGUGAAGUGAGUGCCUAGCUUUUAGAUAUUCUGGUGAACCCGGCCGUGUGGGAAAUUAGUGGACGCAUGGUGUUGAAAACAGAGGAAUAUGUUCAUCUCAUUAAAGAAAAAGCAUGGCGACUGCUUGCAGAGGUUUCUUUAAUUCUAUGUUGAAACAAGGUUUCAAGAAGUGAUGAUUAUCUUCGAAACAGUUUCAUGUGCUGCCAUUGAGAAAAUGUUGUCGGAGGAUAAGCAAGAUGCUGUUGAAGUUGGUAGUUUUAAUAAUUUUCGCAGUGCAGCCAUCAUGCAGCGAGGCAUUAAAUACACAAUUUUCUUUAAAUGUUAUGUUAUGUUGUUUAAAUGUCUUAAUCAGUUUUCAUA